Molecule: long non-coding RNA, 863 nt
Organism: Suricata suricatta (meerkat)
Lineage: Eukaryota; Metazoa; Chordata; Mammalia; Carnivora; Herpestidae
Exons: 2
Source: RefSeq, a predicted model, not a curated record
CAAUCUCCCCUCGGCCUCAGCAAGCACUGGCCCGGCGGGACUUGGAGAGCGGGCGGUCCCGGGGAAUCCUGGCUCGGUUCUGCCCCAGCUCGGUCCGCCAGCGCGGUGGCCGCCUCCUCUGGGCACGUGGGCGAAACAGCCGCAGCGUCCGCCACCAGACCCCACGCAUCACGGUCGGGACCGUGGGCUCGGACCCCCACUCCCAACUCACCUCUAGGCCGGAAGUAGGAAGGCGGAAGCCGCUGCUUUCCCGUCCCACCCACAGGCCGGCCCCAGCCCUGAAUGGGCCUGAGGAAGUCGAGGGGCCAGUUUCCGGCUGCGCCAUUGUUGCGUGGGUCCCGGGACCUAGACUUCCAGGAUUCGUGGGGGCAGAGGGGCGGGGUAGGGCGGCACCCGGCUUACCGGCGAGCGGCAGGUGAGGCCUCGCGGGGUGUGUGGCGGCGCCUCGGCUGCCCUCAGGCCGGGAUCCCGUGUCCGGCGCUUCCUGCUGGGAUCAAGGGGCGAGCGUGGAGUCGCGGGUGGGCUCAGGCCCUCAGGAGCCGGUCCGGACCUCAGAGUGCCCUCUGCUUUGCCUGAUGUCAGCCAGGGCACAGCCCCCUCCUCUGCUGGAGCCACACCGUUGAUGGACGGCCCCGGUGGGUGAGGUCUGUAGCCCCUGGAAACAGACCCAAGAGCGGCGGCAGGAAAGGAGUUGAUCUCCACAAACCGCCCGAAGCCAAGGAACUGAGAGAUUAACUCUGGUUUGGUUGGUGACCAAAUGUUGUGAUUGCUUGCACUGAACGGCUCUGUCUGACUACCUCUGCGAAUGUUGCAAGACCUCUUCACAUUUGAGUGCCAAAUAAAGCAGGUUUUUAUUCUCGAAA